RNAcentral lists this ribosomal RNA (301 nucleotides) under uncultured bacterium. RNAcentral's name for it is "partial 16S ribosomal RNA". It matches the Rfam family "Bacterial small subunit ribosomal RNA", at positions 509 to 807 of the family's 1533-position model. The record is from RNAcentral.
CAGCCGCCGCGGUAAGACAGAGGAUGCAAGCGUUAUCCGGAAUGAUUGGGCGUAAAGCGUCUGUAGGUGGCUUUUCAAGUCCGCCGUCAAAUCCCAGGGCUCAACCCUGGACAGGCGGUGGAAACUACCAAGCUGGAGUACGGUAGGGGCAGAGGGAAUUUCCAGUGGAGCGGUGAAAUGCGUUGAGAUCGAAAAGAACACCAACAGCGAAAGCACUCUGCUGGGCCGACACUGACACUGAGAGACGAAAGCUAGGGGAGCAAAUGGGAUUAGAGACCCCUGUAGUCCCUGUCUCUUAUAC